Non-coding RNA from Salvelinus sp. IW2-2015, 1482 nucleotides. The record is from RefSeq and is a predicted model, not a curated record. NCBI's taxonomy places the organism in Eukaryota, Metazoa, Chordata, Actinopteri, Salmoniformes, Salmonidae.
UUUACACAUGUUAAGUUUGCUGAAAAUAAACGCAGUUGACAGUGAGAGGACGUUUCUUUUUUUGCUGAGUUUAGGUUUGUAUUAUUUCCUGAACUAUAUUCUGUCCCAUAUAUUGUAUAUUGUUUCCAUAAAGCCAACAUGGUUUUACACUUAAGUUUCCAAUCUAGAGCAGUUCUCACUUUUGUGAGAAUGAACUAGCUAACAUUAGCUUCGUUGACACCAACUAACCAACUAAGGACGGUGACCUGUCCAGACGAGAUGUUGCAACGAACUUAAUCGGUCAAUGGAGGGCUUCCUCUUUAUAAAGCCUGCUACAGCAUGCAAUACUAUUGUGAACUCACAAGGUAGCAUAACAUUACAUGUACAAUACUAUCCCAUUUUGGAAAGGUUACAUGUAUGCCCCCMUGUGGAGGGAAAUGAAUAGCUUAGAUGGUAGCUAUAGAUUCAAAGCAUAAUGGUAUUAGUAGUGACUAGACCUCUUUUGUAUACAUGCAUGCCCUUCAGAAUCCAAACACAGUAUUGCCACUCAGCAAAAUGUUGCGUAUAAUCUUUCAAGCCUGUAUGGCAGUACUGUAUUGGCUAGUGCUUUCUCCAAUAUGUUAUUCUAUUUUGCAUUCAAUUGUCUCAACAGGUCUCUCUUGGAAAAUAAAUGUUAUCUUAAUGAGAAAAAACCUGUAUAAAUAAAGGUAAAAUAAAUUAAAAUCAAAUUGUAUGUCGAUGCCAUUUGUCUUUCAAUAUUUUUUAAAUAUAUAUACAUAUUUUUAAUGCUUGUAAGACUACUCUUUCACACAUUUUCUCUUCCUUUGAAAUUCUUAUAGGACAGAACAUGGACACAAUGSAAUUGGGAUCAAGAAGAAGGACUCGAGACCACAGCAGCGAUCCUGCUCUUGCCCUACCUCUUCAAUGAGGACCCGAGUGGCCUUUAUGUCCGUAACAAGAUUUCACCGCUCCCCACUCUUUUACUGCACAUCGGCGGAAAUCCAUUUCACCAUGAGAGUGAAAUCCCGCUGGCCUUUGAUGGGGAGAACAUGCACGCCCUAGAGGACAUCCCCAAUGGGACUUGGGGCUCUGCUAGGGCUUUUAUUUUCAGUUAAAUUUCCCCAACAUUUCUGAAAAACACUUAUAUUCUUAAGUUACUGUGUUCUGGGGAUAAUAGACGUUGGGGUGAAGUUACCAGGGUCGGUCAUAAAGAUGGCAAACUUCCUAACAUAACUAAGUGGUUUAGGACACAGACACACACUAAAGCAAAAACAUCUGUAUUUAGCAUCAAGUCUACAAUAUUGUUAGUUUACCUAUGAUUCAUUUUUAAUGUAUCUUGUUUUUAUUGUAAAUCAUUAUUUCAAAAAAAAAAAAUUGUAAUGGAAAGCACUAUACAAAGUAAAUGUAUUAUUUACUAUGGUCUGACAUGUCUGUAGAAAUGUUGCAAUUGUUUAAUGUGUUUUGUUUGGUAAAUUGUUUUGUAAAUAUUAAUUCACAUUUGUG